CGUUGAUUACGUCCCUGCCCUUUGUACACACCGCCCGUCGCUACUACCGAUUGAAUGGCUCAGUGAGGCUUUCGGACUGGCCCAGAGAGGUCGGCAACGACCACUCAGGGCUGGAAAGUUAUCCAAACUCGGUCAUUUAGAGGAAGUAAAAGUCGUAACAAGG
RNAcentral lists this ribosomal RNA (163 nucleotides) under Thermothelomyces thermophilus. RNAcentral describes it as "partial small subunit ribosomal RNA". It matches the Rfam family "Eukaryotic small subunit ribosomal RNA", at positions 1639 to 1799 of the family's 1831-position model. Lineage: Eukaryota; Fungi; Ascomycota; Sordariomycetes; Sordariales; Chaetomiaceae. The record is from RNAcentral.